RNAcentral lists this ribosomal RNA (263 nucleotides) under uncultured archaeon. RNAcentral's name for it is "partial 16S ribosomal RNA". It matches the Rfam family "Archaeal small subunit ribosomal RNA", at positions 717 to 982 of the family's 1478-position model. The record is from RNAcentral.
AGACGUCUACAUUAGAUACCCGUGUAGUCCCAGCCGUAAACUAUGCGCGUUAGGUGUAUCGGUGACCACGAGUCACCGAGGUGCCGAAGGGAACCGUGAAACGUGCCGCCUGGGAAGUACGGUCGCAAGGCUGAAACUUAAAGGAAUUGGCGGGGAGCACCACAACGGGUGGAGCCUGCGGUUUAAUUGGACUCAACGCCGGGAAGCUCACCGGAUAAGACAGCGGAAUGAUUGCCGGGCUGAAGACUCUGCAUGACUAGCUG